This is a long non-coding RNA of Pseudopipra pipra, 944 nucleotides long. RefSeq lists it as uncharacterized. NCBI's taxonomy places the organism in Eukaryota, Metazoa, Chordata, Aves, Passeriformes, Pipridae. The record is from RefSeq and is a predicted model, not a curated record. The transcript is spliced from 3 exons.
UAGUCUGGCUUACGUAAAAAUCGUAGGGAAUACUGGGUAAAUCUGGGCCCUUCCUUGGUUACAAACUGGUCACCAAGGAAGGCCUAGACUUAACUACCACAGAAAAAUACUGCAUUUCCCCUCCCCUAGUAGCUAUAAGUUUUCCCAAAGAUUACUUUUUUCCUCCAUGCUUGAGAGCUUCAAAAGUGGCCCCAAUCAGAGAAAUGAUCAAGGGCUGGAUCUGCUGAAACCAUCACUGAAAGCAAAUCAUACUCAUGAGCCACCCUAAUGAGCUUCAAAAGGUUAUAUUCUCUUUGAGUUAGCAUUCAACCUUCAGAAAGAGACAAAACCACGAGAAAACAUAGGUGAAGUUCUCAUAGUCUCUCUAUUGUGAAUGGCAGAAGACAUGGAAACAAGCUAUGUUAAUCCAUACCUGCUUUAUCAAGAAGAAAAACUCUGCAUAUGAACAUGGACCAAGAGUCAAAGUUGCCCUCUGUUUAACAAACUCAUUACAAGGUAUACUUGUGAAAAACUAUUUCUUCAAAUAUCUAUUUGUUUCAGAGUUCCACAACUCAAGCUAGUACUGGAUUUAAAAAUCCAGGCUAUACUAUCCUUGUCUGGAAUGAUUUCUACACAAAAUGAAAAGUAACUUGCAAGAUUCUUAGAUCUACAGUUUAAGCUGUUCUUCUAUUUGCCCUUGUUUUGGUACAUUUUCACUACCUGAAACAUUGCUGUCCAAUGCCCAACUCUUUCACUGUGAAAGCUGCAAAGAAAGCAUAAUAAAAAUGGAACCACAUACCAGCUUAGUGCAUCUAAACACAGAUGACAGUUUCAGGUAGAAACUGUAGGAAUUAUUAUGUCAAAUCAAAUUACAUUGGUCCAAAAAUGUUUUUCCUAUGAGCAGAAGUUGUCAUAUGCACAAAAAAAGUCUCAAGAGUUUAAGUAUUACAGUUUGGGACAGGAUG